GUGGCCAAAAUAUUCUUAUCGGAAAGCGAAUCGUUUCGGAGUUUAAAUCAUUUCUUUCGGUUUAUGGGCUCUGAAGCGUGAACUCUUUAUCUUCCUUCCUCUCUCUCUCUGUCUCUUAUAUUUCAACAAUUUUGUUUUAUAUUAGGUAUUAUGUUCUUCAUAUUAUCUAGGUUCUACUUAGAUUUGACUUUUUGCCUUUUCCUUCUUGGUUUCUCAAAUUUUUUUUUUUUAAUUCUUUGCUCUGGAAUCGAUGGCCUCUCCUUUUGAUUAAUUUUUGGAUGAUCUUUUUGGAUGAUCUUUUCGAUUUUGAUUCUUGAUAGUUCGUCUAACAAUGAUGACCUUUCUACUGCUCGUCGUUUUCCUGCAUGUGCUAGCAGGAGAUCUAGGAACAUUGUAGUUUAGGGUUCAUUUUUGAGCCAGACUCCAAUGUCAAUUCUAAGAGAGGAAACGCUGCUGUGAUUCCUACUGGGGGUUCCAGCGAGCAAACUUUGGUUAGUAUCUCCCAUCAUGUGUUAUAUGCUUAUAACAUCUCCGAGCACGGAGGAGUCCGUCCGUGGUUUGAAGGAAACUCUAGGGAUUCCUCCAAAAAUUGUAUUUCUCAUGCCCUCUAGUUCUGAUGGUUCGUGGUUCGCAGAGCAAGCUAUUGUUAGAGAUGCCAGAUGGUUAUCUUCAAACUCUUUGUUGGUGAUAUCCGAACUGUAGUGGGUCUCCUAGUGUUUGCUGGUUAGCUUUGUUAAACUAUGUGUCCACAACUUCCCGAGGCCAGUUAACUCGGUUUCUAAUAAAGGAGGCAUGUACUCUCUCUCUCGGGUAAUCCUCAUAUUGUUAGCACUCCUCCCAGAAAGAUGAAGGACUGGGAAGAGAAUUACUUAUUUGUGAAGGUUGACGCACAUUCCAUUUCUGACGAUUUAACGUAGACCGUCAUGCGUGAUUGGAAUGAAAAUCCUGCCUAAAGAGAAGAUCGAUGGGAUGCAGCUCACACCAUUCUUCCAAUAGUUGAAGGCCAUCCAAGAGCUAAUUGGGAAACCAUUACUCCAGCUUGUAUCGAGUCAGUUCUUACCAUUAUUUCUUCUCCAUCUACCGAUCUUUCUCUUUCUCUCGUGCUUUCUUCUCGACCUACUGCAAGGUAUCCAUGGGUUUCGAAUCCCACCUUAGCCAAUAGAUUGGCUGAGGUUUCCAAAAAGAGAUAAGUGAGAAGCAAAAAUUCAAACACUGCGGUGAGUAGAGUUGCUACCCUAUCCUCUACAUAGGGGAGGGCUUAGGCACCAAGCUUUCCGAGCAGUAGGGAGGUCGUCUAGACCUCUGAGGCUGAAGUUUCUACCACUCAAUUGCUACCUUCUCCUUUGAUCCCUGA
Brassica oleracea var. oleracea is the source of this 1354-nucleotide long non-coding RNA. RefSeq lists it as uncharacterized. The record is from RefSeq and is a predicted model, not a curated record. The transcript has 4 exons. Lineage: Eukaryota; Viridiplantae; Streptophyta; Magnoliopsida; Brassicales; Brassicaceae.